Cygnus atratus (black swan) is the source of this 4636-nucleotide RNA transcript. It is a transcript of the gene named EPH receptor B1, with no coding region annotated. The transcript has 17 exons. Lineage: Eukaryota; Metazoa; Chordata; Aves; Anseriformes; Anatidae. The record is from RefSeq and is a predicted model, not a curated record.
GCGGGGGACGCCGGCCCGGGGGGGCGAUGGCUGCGGGUCUGGUGGCGCUGCUCUGCCUGGCCGCCGCCGCGGCCGCCGUGGAAGAAACCCUGAUGGACACGCGGACAGCGACGGCUGAGCUGGGCUGGACUGCCAACCCACCCUCGGGGUGGGAAGAAGUGAGCGGCUACGACGAAAACCUGAACACCAUCCGCACGUACCAGGUGUGCAACGUCUUCGAGCCCAACCAGAACAACUGGCUCCUCACCACCUUCAUCAACCGGCGUGGUGCCCACCGCAUCUACACCGAGAUGCGCUUCACGGUGCGGGACUGCAGCAGCCUCCCCAACGUCCCCGGCUCCUGCAAGGAGACCUUCAACCUCUACUAUUACGAGACAGACUCGGUCAUUGCCACCAAGAAGUCCGCCUUCUGGACGGAGGCACCCUACCUCAAAGUGGACACCAUUGCUGCUGACGAGAGCUUCUCCCAGGUGGACUUUGGUGGCAGGUUGAUGAAGGUGAACACAGAAGUGAGAAGUUUCGGGCCCUUGACCCGCAAUGGCUUUUACCUGGCUUUCCAGGACUACGGGGCUUGCAUGUCUCUGCUCUCCGUCAGGGUCUUCUUCAAGAAGUGCCCGAGCGUGGUGCAGAACUUCGCCAUCUUCCCAGAGACGAUGACAGGGGCGGAGAGCACCUCUCUGGUGACUGCCCGUGGCACCUGCAUCCCCAACGCCGAGGAGGUGGACGUGCCCAUCAAACUGUACUGCAACGGGGACGGGGAGUGGAUGGUCCCCAUAGGCCGCUGCACCUGCAAGGCUGGCUACGAGCCGGAGAACAACGUGGCCUGCAAAGCCUGCCCGGCCGGGACCUUCAAGGCCAGCCAGGGUGCGGGGCUGUGCGCCCCGUGCCCCCCCAACAGCCGCUCCAGCGCCGAGGCGUCGCCGCUCUGCGCCUGCCGCAACGGCUACUACCGGGCUGACCUGGACCCGCCGGCGGCCGCCUGCACCAGCGUUCCCUCCGGCCCCCGCAACGUCAUCUCCAUUGUCAACGAGACCUCCAUCAUCCUGGAGUGGAACCCGCCGCGGGAGACGGGGGGCCGGGACGACGUCACCUACAACAUCGUCUGUAAGAAGUGCCGCUCGGACCGGCGCGCCUGCUCCCGCUGCGACGACAACGUGGAGUUCGUGCCCCGGCAGCUGGGGCUGACAGAGACCCGCGUCUUCAUCAGCAGCCUCUGGGCUCACACGCCGUACACCUUCGAGAUCCAGGCGGUCAACGGGGUUUCCAACAAGAGCCCCUUCCCGCCCCAGCACGUCUCCGUGAACAUCACCACCAACCAAGCCGCACCCUCCACCGUCCCCAUCAUGCACCAGGUGAGUGCCACCAUGAGGAGCAUCACGCUGUCCUGGCCGCAGCCGGAGCAGCCCAAUGGCAUCAUCCUGGACUACGAGCUCCGCUACUACGAGAAGGUGAGCCGGAUCUGCACGCCCGACGUCAGCAACACCGUGGGCUCGAGGCCAGCAACGGACCACAACGAAUACAACUCCUCCAUGGCCCGCAGCCAGACCAACACGGCCAGGAUCGAGGGGCUGCGCCCCGGCAUGGUCUACGUGGUGCAGGUGCGAGCGCGGACGGUGGCCGGCUACGGGAAGUACAGCGGGAAAAUGUGCUUCCAGACGCUGACCGAUGAUGACUACAAAUCCGAGCUGAGGGAGCAGCUGCCGUUGAUCGCAGGGUCCGCGGCGGCCGGCGUGGUCUUCAUCGUCUCGCUGGUGGCCAUCUCCAUAGUCUGCAGCAGGAAGCGUGCGUACAGCAAGGAGGCGGUUUACAGCGAUAAGUUACAGCACUACAGCACCGGGCGAGGGUCUCCAGGGAUGAAGAUCUACAUCGACCCCUUCACUUACGAGGACCCCAACGAGGCGGUCCGCGAGUUCGCCAAGGAGAUCGACGUCUCCUUUGUGAAGAUUGAAGAGGUCAUUGGAGCAGGGGAGUUUGGAGAAGUGUAUAAAGGCCGCCUGAAGCUACCUGGCAAGCGGGAGAUCUACGUGGCCAUCAAAACGCUCAAAGCUGGCUACUCGGAGAAGCAGCGCCGGGAUUUCCUAAGCGAGGCCAGCAUCAUGGGGCAGUUUGACCACCCCAACAUCAUCCGUCUGGAAGGGGUGGUGACCAAGAGCCGACCUGUCAUGAUCAUCACAGAGUUCAUGGAGAACGGGGCCUUGGACUCCUUCCUACGGCAAAAUGACGGGCAGUUCACGGUGAUCCAGCUGGUGGGGAUGCUCAGAGGAAUUGCCGCUGGGAUGAAGUACCUUGCAGAGAUGAACUAUGUCCACCGAGAUCUGGCAGCCAGGAACAUCCUGGUCAACAGCAACCUAGUGUGCAAAGUGUCAGACUUCGGGCUCUCGCGGUACCUGCAAGACGACACGUCCGACCCCACCUACACCAGCUCCUUAGGUGGGAAGAUCCCCGUGCGGUGGACAGCCCCGGAGGCCAUUGCCUACCGCAAGUUCACGUCGGCCAGCGACGUCUGGAGCUACGGCAUCGUCAUGUGGGAGGUGAUGUCGUUUGGGGAGAGGCCCUACUGGGACAUGUCCAACCAAGAUGUCAUCAACGCCAUCGAGCAGGACUACCGGCUCCCGCCGCCCAUGGACUGCCCGGCCGCCCUGCACCAGCUGAUGCUGGACUGCUGGCAGAAGGACCGCAACACCCGGCCUCGCUUCACAGAGAUCGUCAACACCCUUGACAAAAUGAUCCGCAACCCGGCAAGCCUCAAAACUGUGGCUACCAUCACCGCUGUGCCUUCUCAGCCCCUCCUCGACCGCUCCAUCCCCGAUUUCACUGCCUUUACCUCAGUAGAAGACUGGCUGAGCGCCGUCAAGAUGAGCCAGUACAGAGACAACUUCCUGAGCGCUGGCUUCACCUCCCUCCAGCUGGUCGCCCAGAUGACAUCUGAAGACCUCCUGAGAAUAGGGGUGACUCUGGCUGGGCACCAGAAGAAGAUCCUGAACAGCGUCCAGUCCAUGCGAGUGCAGAUGAGUCAGUCUCCGACCUCGAUGGCGUGAUGUCCCUCGCUCAACGGGGAGGGGACAGGGAGGGCAGGCGGCGGAGGCGGGAGGGGAGGAACUGACAGAGCCGCGGUGCGACGGUCGGAGAGGGGCGGCCGCGGCCGGGGGCUGCGCCUGCUGGUGAAGGAUGCUCCUGGGACUGGCCUCGGCCUGGUGACUUCCGUUCCUUGCCUACAGAAGCACACUUACCGAUGUCACAGGGAACGGUGUAUAAAUAAGUAUAAAUAUGUACAAAUAGUAUAUUUAAAAAUGAAAAAAAAACCACAAAACCACACAAAAAAACAGCCAACAAUGAAGACAAACCAAUGUAUGUUGGGGAAAUGAACCCAAAUCCUAGAGACCAGACUCCACUCCCACCGCCAGUGAGCAGUAGUCAAAACUGAGGUGGAGGAAGGGACUUUUGGGGAAGGGAGAGGCACCAGAUUGAGUUCCCCAACUGGAGAAGCUACCGGGAGCGACUGCCUUCCUUCUUGCUUCCUUUGCUCUCCCUCCCUGCCCCAGCCCCUCCUGCUGCCCCUGCUCCCUUCUCUGCUCACGGCCUGGUGGAGCCUCCUCAGCAGCCUCCACAGCUGCCCCCAUCGUGUCUAGGUGUCGCUCUGCCAACUACCAAAGGACUUCGCUGACCACUGCAAGGGGGGGAUCCAACUCAAUCCAGUUAAUGUCUUCAUAUUGAAGAAGAGAUGUACCUUCAAUAGAAAAACCUUGGUUUUUUUCUUUUGCUUGCAUUUUUUUGCAAAAAGGAAAAACAACAAAAAAAUCCAUCAUGGAAAAUGGAAAGAGGUGUUCCCGUGUGUGUGUGUGUGUGCGCGCGCGCGUGUACUUUGUCAACCUACCAUGGACUCGCUGCUUGGAGGUCGCCACCCACCUGAAGGCAGUGGACGGCCGGGUCCAAGGCCUGGAUCUGUGCCUGGAGCCGGCAGAGGCCCCAGCGAGGCCGGCGCUCAGCGCGGCGCAGGCGGGACCAGGACGAGGAUGAGGAGGAUGCGAGGGGCCAGCGGGGACAGGACUGGAGGAGUCGCGGCGUGUGGGUACUGGGUUGUGGAGGAGGAGGAGGAGGAGAGAUGCUCUGGGGAAGAGACUGAUGAGGCCUCCAGAGCCUCGGGGAUCUGCAGAAGAUGGCUACGGAGAACUUUAUUUCCCCCAUCUUGUGGACCUAAGGAUUUUGAUAUUGGGUUACAGACUUGGGUUUCAUGGCUUCAGAGGGGUACAGAUGCACCGGCAGCGCUGCCUCUCCCGCACCCUCCGCCGCCCAUGGGAUGAGCUGGGACAUCUCUGGAGCCCCGAGCCGGGCUGCGGGAGCCUCCGCUGCCACAGCAUGCCCCAUGCCGGCUGGCAGCACCCCGUCCUGUACAUAACAGUGAGGUGUCUGUAACAGGUUUUCACCCAUUGUAAAUUUUUUUUUAAUUAUCAUUUUUUAUUUCUUAUUUUUUGCCCCCUCCCCAGUUUGUCAAUUGUGUUGAACUUGUCGGAGUUUGUAAUGGUAACUUUCAGAGAAUAUUGUACUAAAGAGAGAAUUGCACUCAAUAAAAAUAAUGAAAUAAGCCUGAUCCUUUCUCUUCCCCUUCCCAGAGGCGGUCUUACUGCUGCCGUGUUAU